Selaginella moellendorffii is the source of this 148-nucleotide long non-coding RNA. RefSeq lists it as uncharacterized. The transcript is spliced from 3 exons. The record is from RefSeq and is a predicted model, not a curated record. Lineage: Eukaryota; Viridiplantae; Streptophyta; Lycopodiopsida; Selaginellales; Selaginellaceae.
ACAAGGAUGAUCGAUUGGCUGGUGGAAAUUGAAAGUGAGUCCGCGGACGCUCAAGAACAUUUGGAAGACGAAAGUGUAAAGAAAGUGGAGGAGGAAGUCAGGCUGGAGUUGUCUGAAACACUCUCUGGACAAGAACUGGAUAUGGCAG